AAACGGAUUCACCUAUUCCGAUUUCGAUUCCAUGGUAAAAAAGAAACGAACCAAACACGCCCUUAAUCUAAAUUUAUAAAAUAUAAAUUCAAAUAUAACAUAAAUAUAUAUAUAUAUAUAUAUAUAUAUAUAUAUAUAUAUAUAUAUAUAUAUAUAUAUAUAUAUAUAUAUAUAAAAUUAGGCUGGAAUACUAUUAAUAGUAAAACGCUCUUUUUGCUAUCAAGUUUUUAACCCUUGGAUGAAAAAUUGUAGGGUUAGGAUGAUAUUAGUCAGUUAGAGUUGAGUGGUCCCCCUAGGGUUGAGUGGUCCCCACUGAGUUAUAGUAUUUAAUCUAAUGGUUAGAAAUGAUGAAAAGAGUUGAUCAAAAGGCUAAAAAACUGGUAGCAACAAUGGAAUUUUGCUACUAAUAGUAGCCCAGUCCAACUAUAUGUAUAUAUAUAUAUAUAUAGUGUAGAGCUACUAUACUAUUAGAAGUAUAAAGGAUUUGAUCCUUCCUAUUUUUUGACCCUUGGAUCAAAAAUUGUACGGUAGGGAUGAUUGCAGCCCCCUUAGAGUUGAGUAGUACUAUUAAGAUUGAGUGGUCCCCAUAGGGUAAUAAUAUUAAUCCAAAUGUUACAAAAAAUUAAAGGGGCUGAUCUAAGGGCCAAAAAGUCGGAAGCACCAGAUCCGUUAUGCUUUCGAUAACAUAGUAGCUCUACUAUAUAUAUAUAUAUAUAUAUAUGCUACAAUAUAUAUUAUCAAUAGUACCAAGUCCUUGGUACUUUUGAGUUUUCGGCCGUUGGAUGAAAAGAUGUGCGGUUAGGAUGAUAAUGGUCUCCGGUUAAAUUGAUAGUGCUCCCCUAGGGUUGAGUGGGUGGUUGGUUUAAUAGUAUAAUCUAACGGGUAGAAAUGAUCAAAGGGUAGAUCUAACGGUAGAAAACUCAAUAGUACCAAGGGCUUGGUACUAUCGAUAGUAUAAUAGCCAGACUCUAUAUAUAUAUAUAUAUAUAUAUAUAUAUAGAGAGAGAGAGAGAGAGAGAGAGAGAGAGAGAGAGAGAGAGAGAGAGAGAGAGAGAGAGAGAGAGAGAGAGAGAGAGAGAG
This 1080-nucleotide long non-coding RNA is filed under the name Ananas comosus (pineapple). Its description in RNAcentral is "long non-coding RNA (ACOM_LNC019664)". The record is from RNAcentral. Lineage: Eukaryota; Viridiplantae; Streptophyta; Magnoliopsida; Poales; Bromeliaceae.